Molecule: ribosomal RNA, 305 nt
Filed under: uncultured bacterium
Lineage: Bacteria
Description: bacterial SSU rRNA
Rfam family: Bacterial small subunit ribosomal RNA
Source: RNAcentral
GCCUACGGGGGGCAGCAGUAGGGAAUUUUCGUCAAUGGGCGCAAGCCUGAACGAGCAAUGCCGCGUGAACGAGGAAGGUCUUCGGAUCGUAAAGUUCUGUUGAAGGGGAAAAAGAGCGGAGAGAGGAAAUGGUCUCCGAUUGAUAUUACCCUUCGAGGAAGUCACGGCUAACUACGUGCCAGCAGCCGCAGUAAUACGUAGGUGGCGAGCGUUAUCCGGAAUGAUUGGGCGUAAAGGGUGCGUAGGCGGCCUGCUAAGUCUGGAGUGAAAGGUACCGGCCCAACCGGUACAGGCUCUGGAAACUG